AGGGGCGAUUCAUUGGAUUUAUUCUGUUCAUCGUGCCCAGAUGAACAUCUGGGGAGGGAUUCGUACCAUUCCGAGCAGUAUAGUUAUUUUGUCGGGGGGUUCACCGUAUUUAUGUGUGGUAUUUAUCUUAUGUUCUUUGCACCUACAAGUCAUGCGUGUGGGUGUCCUUUCAUGGCAUCCCAUAUCGUAAACACAACUAUCAUCUGCAUAGUUUCAGGAACACUCCCUGCUUUUUAGCCUGUGCGUAUGUUCCAUUCUUUGGCCGACUUAAACUUUUACUCCGAAUAAAAGCAAUUAUAAGAACAUGUACUUCCUUUACAACAACCCAAAAACAAAGCUGCUAUAUUUAAAAAGCGAUUUAUUUGGGAUCGCUCAUUGCUUGUAUUCUAAACAUAUGCAUGACACACCUUACAUUUAUACUAAAUGCUUUCUUCACACAGUGUGGGCAUAGAACAACUAAGCUAAAUGUACUGUGUUUUGUUGUGGUUGGUAUGGCAGAGCUUGAAAACAAAGCCCACAUAAUUUAGGCUUCCUCUUCCUAUUUGCAUCUUACACAAUCUUUGAAGCUACAUGAAGUUGUCACUACGCUUACAUUUGCUGGAAUAUACAGCCUUGUUAUUCUAACUUUCAUCUUCCACAGGUGAAAUCGCAUCAUAACUCAUUUGCACACGUUGUCCGAGGAUCGUCAGAGGUGUAGACAGUGCUUUUUGUGUUUGUCUUGGAACGUUGUGCUUCCUCGCAUCUUGUCUUUCAAUGGGGGUGCAUGACACCCUUUGUUUCUCCUCCUUGCAACCUUUGUGUCAUUUAAGUCUCCAGACACCACGUCUGCACUUAAGAGCACAGAGCCCCUGCUGGUAUGAGGAGAAUUCUGCAGGAAGCUCUCUUUAUAUUUAUGCAACACAACACUUGCACUUAAAUGCUUGGUUUCCUGGGUCUCUCAUGGGCUUCCCCUAACACGACCACACAGUUCAGCUCCCGGUUUUGAGCAUUCGUGGUAAGACACAGGGUAAACACACUGUCUUCCCUUCAUUUCAAGUCUUUUCGUCUGUCUGACCCUUUCAUGCCGUCAGCCCAGAUGAUGUUGCGUCACAGGUACCUUUUGUUCAGCUGUGUAGGUUUUACAGACCUUGAAGCCAAUUUGUUUUCUACAUUCGUUUUCAUUGAUUCACUCAUUCAAUACAAGAUUUUAUAGCUGUGUAUUUCCAUUCAUCCAGCAUCCAGUCUUGUUGUGUACUUGAGGAUCUCUCCCACUCGACUUUGUCCCGCCACAAAAAUAAUGUAAGUUAGCCUCAUUCAUACACAACUUCUGGGCUAUCGUCGCUGCAGUUGCCCUUCUUUCACUUUCACUGGCUGCAGGAAGCUAAUCCUGGCAGGGGCCACUCUUUCACACAGACACACACGCAGAAAAAGGCAAAAGUGAAUGAUGUGCUGGCUUGUGUGCAUCUCAGUGUUGACGGUGGCCCUUCUUUCUCAAGGAAUCCAAGAGCAUUAGCCUCUGCGGCUGCUGGCCACCACAGAUGCUGCUCUGUCGUGUGGUAAUGGAGGCUUCACUGGAGCUUAGCUGUCAUUCACAAUCUGCUGAUUCUGGGAAACUGUACAUGAUGGCUUGUUCUGGGGCUCUACGCCACAUGGGGGGCCACUGUUUCUGUCUUGCAGGCUUGCACCAUUCAUUCCGACUAAAAGGUAGCAAAAGGUCCUCUUUGCCGCCCAUGGGCAGUAAUUAUCUCCGUGCAGCCCACCUUUACAAUUGACCUGUGCUGGGUGCUUCUUCGACUCUGCCAGCUCCUAACAAAGGAAUCCCAGGACUUUGGGACAUCAAAAAUUGGCCGGAAUUCGGGAUAUCCUGAUUGACGACCCUAACUACAAUUUGCAACAUGGCAGCGGCUUCCCCCAGCAGUUCAGGGAGGUGUGACUGGAGCAGUCCACAUGCAUGUAUUUGGUACGCAUGCGCUUGACACACCUUUUGCACUGGUUUUCUGUUCAACCAGAUGACCCUGUACCGUCGAGAAGCCCAUCUUCAUCCCAUCCGAGCAUCUGUGACGGCUCUCGAUGGCAUCUUUGCACGCAUCCCAGAGCACUCACUUGCUGAGCUUGUGGCGUCCAUAACAACUUGCUUUGCUGCCAUAUUCUUGCCAGUAGUUUUCGAAAAAGGACAGUGGACAGUGGUGGAAAAAAUCGCCUGUCUCUGCUUUUUGCAGGUGUUUCAAAAUUGCUGCUCUCAUAUAUGAUGCGCACAUAGGAUAGUGCUUGGUGUAUUCUACCUUGCUCGACAAAGUAAUGGAUAAUAUGGCUAAUUUUGACACAGUUUGACAAACAAUCCACUGCACACACUGUCAUUCUCCAGGAAUUCCUGGAGAUUCACCAUGACUUUGGUGACCACCAUGCUAUCUACCCUGAUGGGACCAAAGGAAGCAAUGGUGUGGCGGCUGUUGCCCUUGAAGGCGAUUCUAUUAUAGUGGCACACUUGAAUACGAAUGCCACAGUUUUCACCACAGAGCUUUACGCGAUUCUCCUGGCUCUGCAGCACAUUCAACAAAAUGACCUUCAAAACUCCGUUAUUUACUCUGAUUCGCUAAGCUCUGUGCGUGUGCUGCUUUCAUGCUCUGACACCAAGAAUCACCUCGUCAAGCAAGGACGGGCGCUUGCGACUCAACUUUGUUCCCGAGGCUUUUCAAUCUGUCUCUGCUGAGUCCCCAACCACACUGGGAUCCCAGGGAAUGAACAAGCCGACCGUAAGGCUGGGCGAGCGUAGGCACAAGAGGAGUCGCCUCUAGGACUACACUACCAAGACAUCCUGCCAGUGUUAAAGUUCAGCAUUGCUCCGCUUUUAGCCUUUAUCACCCAGUUCCUCAUGUAAAUCUCUCAUCCUGGGUCAUCUCAUCGCUCAUACUUGUAGAUAGCUUUUAACUGCCACACGCACUUGUUAUCGUCAUCCUCCUUUCUCUCUUAUCCUGGACCAUCUCAUCGCUCACAACUGUAGAUAGCUUUAAAUAACUACACUCACUUGUUAUCGUCCUCUCUCUCUCUCUCUCUCACAUCAUCUCUCUCCCAUCAUCAUCUCCCACACACUCCCCAUAGUUCUGGCACUCUUUGGCCUUUGCCGCCUUUGUGCCAUUAAACACAUAACCUCUCUCUCAAAUUUUUUGUGCCCACAUGAUUUGUUAUAAUCACCUAUGCAUUAUCUUGAAUCCCACGAGUUCACGUUCACGGAGAACAGUUGAAUGGAUUGUGGAUGAUCGCAUUAAGACAUCCCUUGCUGCUGUGCGCCAUGCACUUAACACCAUGUUCAUCGUUCUUCAGUGACUCCAGCUUAGUCAUCUGUUUGCCAUCUGUGUUAAACAGUCCCGGCCAAGGUAGUGUCUCCGAGGUCUAUCACAUAUCCACCUUUUCAUUUCAAGUACAUGUUGCUGGGUGAGUGUCCUACAAGCUGAGAAGUGUUCUACCUCAGCACUCCAAAACACCACAGCUGCUCAUGUCGUGCUGGAAGUUAACGAACCAUUUUGAGUUUCAUACCGAGGCUAACGUGCCAUUUUCUGUUUCUUCUGUAUUUCACACAGAGAAAAACGAUCACCGUGGUCCUUCACAUUCUUUCUGGAUUCUUUCAGUGGGUCGAAGCACAUUAUUUCUUACUACUUUAGAUCUACAGCAAUGAGGGUCCAGCGUCUUGUUAUGGGAGCUAACUGCAUUCUUUCCACCUCUGGCUCUCUAUUCUCUAUAUUGCCUUUCCAUGGCUGUCUGUCCUCAGUUUCUACACCAAGGAUGUUGCCAUAUUCAGCAUCUGUACUACCGCAUGGCGUGUGCUUGGCUCUUCAUCAGUUAGAUCUUCUGUUAUAUCUAUUAGAUCUAUCUUCGUCACAUCACCUCUCGUCAUCUCUCUGCCUCCAUCACUAUAGCAUACAUCGGAAUUGCCCUUCUGAACGGCGAAAGGAUCACACAAGCUGGCUUUUAGCGACACUUGUGUCACUGCUGUCCGAACUGGGGACUACUACCUCACUGUGAUUAGGCUCAGAUUUUCCUUUAUUUUUUUUUUUUUUCUGGGGGAGGGGGGGGAGUACUGUACUCGGCUCAUUUCGUCAUCACUUGUGCAGUGUUCUGUCAUGCCAUUAGUGAUGUAUUGACGUUCUGGACUUCCAGAAUGUUCCCUGAUCUUUACUGUAUUGUAUUGUGCUAUUGUAGUAUUUCUGGAACACUGCACAGCAGGAUUACCAUAUUUCAUUUGUUGUCUAUCAGCGUCAUCCACGCCUGUGUCAGUGGUUACAUGGAAGCAGGGAUGGCGAGAUAGGAGAGUCAUCUUUGAAGGAAGGGAGCCCGCAUCCUGGGCCUCUUCAGGGGCCCGUGGUACCCAGGGCCCAACUCUUGCUGCGCCCAACCAUGUGCACCCAGCGCACGGACUUCCGUGUGCAAGUGAUGCUGCAUGUGAUUAAUGUGUAGUUACUUUCAAGGAAGAGUUCAACAAGAAAGUUUUUUUCAAGCUUGCUUCAGAAAAUACUUCGUGUUUCAUUCUGCUCCUGUAGUCUGGCAACAUCAGUGUCGCCAGAUAUGCAACGAUUCACUCAGCACUGGAGUCUUGUGUCAUGUUUUAACACGGUUACAUAUUUUUCUCAUACGCAAUCACAGUGGUACUGCAUGCAGGUAUCACUUCGCAUCUGCUUGCUGUGACCUUCUCUGUUCUCACAGCCGAAGCACUCUUUAUCUGCGUUUCUCUUCAGCGUUUCUGCUUCACUCUUCAGCUGCGUUUCAAGCACCCACUGACAAUGCUCUCAAAGAUGUGGUGACACAUUUUUCUUAUGUCACAUGCGCCUUGUCUUUGUCUUUGUCCUUACUAGCCUGAAGCCACCUGCUAGUGCAAACCAGCACACAAUGAUUCCACCACUCUCUUCUUCGCUAUUCAACCACUGUUGCACUAUUUGAGGACUCCACUGACCUCCCAGGGAGAGGUACUUGAGAAAAUCAGUUAAGAGAUCGUAAAGCAGGACUGAGUCCGUGUCACUGAGGGCAACAAACAUUGCCCGUUGCUUGUCUCGUUUGUAAUAUGGGAUGAAAAGCGUGUUCCUGUCGUCCACGGACUUGGUGACGAGCAGUUCUUCUGCGAGUAAAUGUGCCACAUUAUCACCUCUGAACAGAGGCAUCAAGUAGGCGUAAGUACUUGCAACCUUGUCAAACCUUACGCUGAGCUACAUUAAAAAUGCCUCAGUUAUUGUGUCGAAGAGGUGGCCCUUCUGAAAUAACUGGUCAGACGCACAUAGCUCGGCUUCUUUAGACCUGUCGAUUGUAGUGUCGAGGGACCUGAGAUCAACGAGCCUUAUAAAUAUCUUUGAGGGCUUUCCAAAUGCAAGUACAACAUCACUACCUCCCCUUGCAUAUGUAAGGCAGAUAGGUAAGGGAAGGGCAGGCUCGCAGCUUUCGGGCUUCGCCACCCUGGAUUUCCUGUUUCUCUGAUUGUCAGGCAUCCCCAUUGCUAGCGUGUGGGUGGGGACGGAUGUUUUGUCUCUUCUGUCAGGAAGUGAACCUCUUUUUCGCUUGACGAGGGCAUGCCAAUUUCUAUUGCUUUUUGCAGUUCUUUUUGCUCUUCCAUUGCUUGAUCUAUGCUGUGCUUUCCUCUUCCUUUGCUUUGAUGGGCUUUUCUGUAACUGAAUUGCUUUUCCAUUUCUUUUUUUGCAGCACAGAGCAAGCGGCACUUCAUUUCGGGUACACCUUGUGGGGUGCCCUCUGUUAUCAGAAUCUGACACACUGCUAGUAGUGUUGGCCAAGGCAAUAUUGUGCCCUAAUGUCUCAGGUACAACUUUGAUGUCCAGGUAACACACUAGUUUCUUGAGUUUGUCCAUUGAUGAAGUCAUUUUUCCUGAAGCAUUCACAGAGCGGAAUAGCUUCCCAUUCAGUUGCCGAACCUCAACUGUCCCCUCUAUCUUUCACAAUUUCAUACGAGUUGUCGCUAUUUCCUUUUUCUGCAUAAUCACCUAGGCCACUUAGUCCACAAGCUCUGUAUUUAUGUCUGUCUGUACUCCCACUCAGCUUUUUUGUACUUUAUCUCCCUGCAGAUGGCUUGCUCCUGCCAUAUGUAACUUGUUCCAAGGGGAUUUUUGAAAUCAAUAAACUGAAUUGAAUUUAA
Molecule: long non-coding RNA, 6109 nt
Organism: Ornithodoros turicata
Lineage: Eukaryota; Metazoa; Arthropoda; Arachnida; Ixodida; Argasidae
Exons: 4
Source: RefSeq, a predicted model, not a curated record